Molecule: unclassified non-coding RNA, 4227 nt
Filed under: Manduca sexta (tobacco hornworm)
Lineage: Eukaryota; Metazoa; Arthropoda; Insecta; Lepidoptera; Sphingidae
Description: aTP-dependent Clp protease ATP-binding subunit clpX- like, mitochondrial, transcript variant X2
Source: RNAcentral
CCUGUAGAGAGCGGUAGUCUCGAAACAACGUGGUACAAUAAUUUCAUUUUCUUUCACAUCAAAAUCAGCUGUGAACAUCAGUAUGGCCGCUCCAUUAACUAUUAAAUAAAAUUGUUUUUGUAAUAUCAUCCAAUAUAAAAAAAUAGUAAAGUGCAGUUUUCGUACUUACACCGUAUAUUUGUAUAUUUGCGAACAGUGUUGAUGUUGACUAAAAGUGUUGCGUCAUGACAGAGACCUCUCACUGACAAACAAAUACAAUAAAAAUUGCGACUCGCUUUAUUGAAGCAACUUUGUAAUUUCUUUAGCUCGUGUGCCGUUUCAGUCGUUCGGUCGGUGGCCCAUGUUAUAUUUGAAGAAAAUUCGAUCGGUUUAUAAUGAGUAGUGUCAGGUUGAGUUUCGUGUCCGUGGGCAGGCUAGCUGUUAGAAGAAAUCCUCAGUUGACAUCAGGUGUCCAGUCAUGUCGUUCGCUGCGGCGCGCCUGCCCACGCACGCUGCACACCUGCGCGGUGAUGUGCAAGAGCCCCACCGAGCAGCCGCCAGGACCGCCGCACGCGCACACCGGCAAGGAUGCUGUUAACUCAGGCUCCACAUCAGGCGGCAAAAAGUCCGGCUCCGGGAACAACAACGGCGUCCUGACGUGUCCCAAAUGCGGCGACCCGUGCACCCACGUGGAGACGUUCGUUAGUUCCACCAGGUUCGUGAAGUGCGACAAAUGCCACCACUUCUUCGUGGUGCUCAGCGAGGUGGACACCAAGAAGAGCAUCAAGGAUAAUGCCGACACCAAGUCUGGAUUCUAUAGGAAACCCCCACCCCCGCCCAAGAAGAUAUUCGAAUACCUGAACAAGCACGUGGUGGGCCAGGAGUACGCGAAGAAAGUGUUGUCCGUGGCGGUGUACAACCAUUACAAGAGGAUCUACAACAACGUGACCAGCGGCACGCAGAGCGACGCGCAUCAUCCGCUACACCAUCCUCACAGAGAUCUGCUUCACCUGGGGCACGGGAGCGGCGGCGGCGGCGCCGAGGUACUAGAGCGGCAACAUCACGAGCUCAGACUGGACAAGAGUAAUGUCCUGCUGCUCGGACCUACGGGAUGCGGUAAGACCCUGCUCGCGCAGACGAUAGCUCAGUGCCUGGACGUUCCGUUCGCUAUCUGCGACUGCACCACGCUCACACAGGCCGGGUACGUGGGCGAGGACAUCGAGAGCGUCAUCGCCAAGCUGCUGCAGGACGCCAACUUCAACGUGGAGCGAGCACAGACUGGCAUCGUGUUCUUGGACGAGGUGGACAAAAUCGGCGCCGUGCCCGGGAUACACCAGCUCCGAGAUGUGGGGGGCGAGGGUGUGCAGCAGGGCAUGCUGAAGAUGCUGGAGGGCGCGGUGGUGUCGGUCCCGGAGAGGAACUCGCGCAAGCUGCGCGGCGACGCGGUGCAGGUCGACACCACCAACAUACUGUUCGUCGCCAGCGGAGCCUACAACGGCCUAGACAGACUGGUGCAGCGGCGCAGCAACGAGAAGUACCUCGGGUUCGGUGCGUGGAGCGCCACGGGCGAGCGCGCGGGGCGGCGCGCGGCGCUGCAGCACGCCGCGCAGGACGCCUCGCCGCUCGACUCCGCGCGCGCCGAGAACGACGAGCGCGACGCCUGGCUGCGCAAGGUGCAGGCGCGCGACCUCAUCGACUUCGGCAUGAUACCGGUAACUGUCCACUGUCUAGCCGCGCAGCACGCCGCGCAGGACGCCUCGCCGCUCGACUCCGCGCGCGCCGAGAACGACGAGCGCGACGCCUGGCUGCGCAAGGUGCAGGCGCGCGACCUCAUCGACUUCGGCAUGAUACCGGUAACUGUCCACUGUCUAGCCGCGCAGCACGCCGCGCAGGACGCCUCGCCGCUCGACUCCGCGCGCGCCGAGAACGACGAGCGCGACGCCUGGCUGCGCAAGGUGCAGGCGCGCGACCUCAUCGACUUCGGCAUGAUACCGGUAACUGUCCACUGUCUAGCCGCGCAGCACGCCGCGCAGGACGCCUCGCCGCUCGACUCCGCGCGCGCCGAGAACGACGAGCGCGACGCCUGGCUGCGCAAGGUGCAGGCGCGCGACCUCAUCGACUUCGGCAUGAUACCGGUAACUGUCCACUGUCUAGCCGCGCAGCACGCCGCGCAGGACGCCUCGCCGCUCGACUCCGCGCGCGCCGAGAACGACGAGCGCGACGCCUGGCUGCGCAAGGUGCAGGCGCGCGACCUCAUCGACUUCGGCAUGAUACCGGUAACUGUCCACUGUCUAGCCGCGCAGCACGCCGCGCAGGACGCCUCGCCGCUCGACUCCGCGCGCGCCGAGAACGACGAGCGCGACGCCUGGCUGCGCAAGGUGCAGGCGCGCGACCUCAUCGACUUCGGCAUGAUACCGGUAACUGUCCACUGUCUAGCCGCGCAGCACGCCGCGCAGGACGCCUCGCCGCUCGACUCCGCGCGCGCCGAGAACGACGAGCGCGACGCCUGGCUGCGCAAGGUGCAGGCGCGCGACCUCAUCGACUUCGGCAUGAUACCGGAAUUCGUCGGCAGAUUCCCUGUGCUCGUUCCAUUCCACAGUUUGAACGAGGACCUACUCGUCAGGAUACUCACAGAACCUAAGAAUGCUAUGGUAUCACAAUACAAGCUGCUGUUCGCGAUGGACAAGUGCGAGUUGUCGUUCAGCGACGAGGCGCUGAAGGCGGUCGCGGCGCUCGCCAUGGAGCGCAAGACCGGCGCCCGGGGGCUCAGGGCCAUCAUGGAGGGUCUGCUGCUGGAGGUGAUGUUCGAGAUCCCCGGGUCGGACGUGUGCGGCGUGCACAUCCACGAGGGCUGCGUGUCGCUGGGCGAGGCGCCGCGCGUGUCGCGCCGCCGCGAGCCGCGCCGCCACGACGCCGCCGCCACCGCCGCCGACAGCGCCGACGCGCCGCUGCACGACUGGCCCUCGGUGCGCCUGCACAACUAACACAUGCAUUAAUACUGAAGUGUGGCCGCGCGAAAACGGAUACACUUUAUAGUUUAAACACAUCAGUUUCACAACCAUCUGUCACUCAGUCACGUGCGCUGUGAGCGGCUACAAGUAUGGUGCUUACAAACAAACAAACAAACAGACAGGCAAACGAACGAACACAAGCAGACGCGGACGCUCGGAGCGUCAACCAUGCUGGGGACACGACGCCGAGGGAAAGGAUGAGAGUUUAUUUAAAAAAUUAAAUGUUAUUUAAAAAAUUACGAUUACAAAUAUUUGUGUUCAUGGAAAUUUUAAAAAUUAACACGACUCUGAAACGGGUCGAUAAAUUGUAGAUUUUUUUUUAAAUAUUGUCUUUGUUUUGAUAUAGACUCGGUCUUUAAACUCAUGAUGCCGAGAUGAUUUCUCAUGCCAAUUAUCAAUAGCUUGCAAGCAAAUCUUGCCACACAGACUGUUCUAGACAUCCGUUUAAUCUAGGCUAUUUAGAUUCAAUGUUGUGUGACGUCCAUUUUAAAACAACGGUAUUACAAAUAUUUGAUGGCUGAAUCAAAAGUUUCACGAUGUUCUAUGUUAAAAAUAUAUUGGAUCAGUAAAAAUGUAAUUGAUUUUGAUAGAUUGAUAUUGAAAGGUGCCAAUUCCGAUGGAAGUUGAACUGAUAUACCCCAAUACUAGCCUGUUAAUAAAUAGAGCUAUAUUGUAUGAGAUACAUAAUUGGGGUAACGGACAAAAGCCGCUGACAGCGACAAAAAAAAGUAAAAAAUAUAAAAAAUCAUCAAACUACGAGAAAUCUUAGCAAUAUUCAAUGAAAAUUGGUCAAGUUGUAGAAGAAAUCACGACUUAAUAGUCUUGAUACUAGUUCCUCGAGUUAGUUUAUUGACAAACAAAAUGUUGUACAACAUCAUACAACAUUGCUCUUGUGAUGUAAAUUACUGUAAAUAUUAAAAUAAUAAUAGAAACAUUAAGGUCUAAUAUUAGGACACGUUUUUUUCUGCUAUGUCCAACUAAGUUGUAAGUACGAAAAUUUACACCCAAUGUUGCUAGAUGAAAAAAUAGUUUUUUUUUUAAUAUUUCGGCCGGCAACGUUUGAAUAUUUUGUUAUUAUUAUAUUUUUUUAUUUAUAAACGGCGGUUGUAGUGUGUUUAUAAAAGUCUCGACAACGCGCCCUCGGGAUGAUGUGAUAUGCCUUCGGAGCUGAUAAUCACAUUACAACUAUAUAAAUUAGUUUAAGCCUAUUUUCAAUUAAAAAUGUAAUGAAAAACUA